GUCUCAGUUCGGAUUGGAGUCUGNAACCCGAUCCAUGAAGCUGGAUUCGCUAGUAAUCGCGCAUCAGCCACGGCGCGGUGAAUACGUUCCCGGGCCUUGUACACACGCCCGUCAAGCCAUGGAAGCCGGGGGUGCCUGAAGUGCGCUGCCGCGAGGAGCGCCCUAGGGUAAAACCGGUGACUGGGGCUAAGUCGUAACAAGGUAGC
RNAcentral lists this ribosomal RNA (206 nucleotides) under uncultured bacterium. Its description in RNAcentral is "partial 16S ribosomal RNA". It matches the Rfam family "Bacterial small subunit ribosomal RNA", at positions 1285 to 1500 of the family's 1533-position model. The record is from RNAcentral.